This 440-nucleotide ribosomal RNA is filed under the name uncultured bacterium. RNAcentral describes it as "partial 16S ribosomal RNA". It matches the Rfam family "Bacterial small subunit ribosomal RNA", at positions 339 to 795 of the family's 1533-position model. The record is from RNAcentral.
CUACGGGCCGCACCAGUGAGGAAUAUUGCACAAUGGGGGGAACCCUGAUGCAGCAACGCCGCGUGGAGGAUGACGCAUUUCGGUGUGUAAACUCCUUUUAUAUGUCAAGAAAAUGACGGUAGCAUAUGAAUAAGCACCGGCUAACUCCGUGCCAGCAGCCGCGGUACUAGCGGAGGGUGCAAGCGUUACUCGGAAUCACUGGGCGUAAAGGACGCGUAGGCGGGUUGGAAAGUCAGGUGUGAAAUCCUACAGCUUAACUGUAGAACUGCACUUGAAACUUCUAAUCUAGAGUAUGGGAGGGGGAGAUGGAAUUAGUGGUGUAGGGGUAAAAUCCGUAGAUAUCACUAGGAAUACCUAAAGCGAAGGCGAUCUCCUGGAACAUUACUGACGCUAAGGCGUGAAAGCGUGGGGAGCAAACAGGAUUAGAUACCCCAGUAGUC